ACCCUUUUCUCUUCACCAAAGACCUUAUUGUUGAGGCAAGUUCUCUUUGAGCAGCUUCUUCUCCAACAAACAAUUCCCUCUCCUGCGAAGACACAAUUACUUAUAUACAUGUGACCUCCUCCCAUCAUCUUACUUUGCACCAAGAUACCAUCAAAGUUCUGCUUCACCAUCACUGUAAUCACCCCAACAUUUGAUUGUCCUUCCUUCGACAGGCGCUGUGUUAGUACUCUUACCAUUUGGAGAAACGACAUUAGGAGAUUCUACAUCUGCAUCAGCAUCUGGAUAAAUGACAUUAGGGCAACGCCCCAAUCUUCGGCAAUCAGCCAUGGAAGAAGGCGGCGGAGUCCUGUUCACCGAUGGAAGCCAUCUGGAGAUGUUUGAUUGUUCGAUCCCUAGGCAGCAGUAGCAGGCGAGGCUGCCGGUGACAUGCACGGUGGUGGUGCUCAGCACACUGCCCGAAUAGUGGAGCCCUUUUUUCCGAUUUGUUCUUCUCCCUUUCGUUGCGUGUGAGAUCCGAUCGGAGCUCCGUUUUUCUAAGAGAAGGUUUGCAGAUAAAUCCCAACAUAAAUCGAGAAAGGAGAAAGUAGAUAUCCGUCUUCCCCAAAUAAGAUCCCCAGAAUUCCAGAUAGAUGGGGUAGUUUUCUUUCCCUUUAUUUAUUUUUUAUUUUUUAUUUUGCUGGAAAGAACUAUAAAAAUUAUCCACAAACCCAUGAAGAAAAUAAAUUCUGAUGACCCCUUUUCUCUUAGAAUUGAGCGAGCUAGGGUGAGUAGCAGAUUGUCCUAAUGUUUUUUCGAUUAAGAGAGAGAGAGAGAGAAAGAUUUCCCUUUUUUCCAAAAAAUCAAGGAAUUCCCAGCUUUUAGCUUGAAGUUCUUCACCCACAAACCCAGAUAUGAAAUUAUGAAGCCACAAUUAUCUCCCCAAAUAUUUGAGAGAGAUAAUAAAUCCGAUAAACGAAGAGCCCAACUUUGAUUUGAGGAAUUAGCCCUUCUGCUUAGAAAAAACGAAGAGCCCAAAUUUUUUAUUUCGGGGUUUUGCCCUUUUACCCAAAAAUGGCGAUUUCGCUCGAAAACCAAAAAAGAGAAAAUGAUAGUUUUUGAAGAUUGCUUAAAGAUCGAGAGAUUCCCAAUUUUUCUAGAGAGAAAUUGAGUGUGGUUGAUAAGCACAUCCACAUGAGAUUCAUUGAGACCCCGUGCCCCGAUUCUUCAAAAAUCCGAAAAAGACUUACCAGACAAGAAAUAAUAAAAAUUUUGAAAACCGUUCGAAACUUCUUCAGGAACUGGGUACCUAUCCAAGGAACUUUAAUCCCCUGAAUUUUCAUAAAAAUCACCCAAUAAAACCGAUAAAUUCUUGAUGGAAAACAAAGAAACCUCACGUCUUAGCUCGAUUUCUCACAGACGGCGCCAGUUGAUGAGUUCAUGAAUAAUUUCCAUAAUAAAAGCUAGCUAAGAAUAUUUCCCAC
RNAcentral lists this long non-coding RNA (1460 nucleotides) under Salvia miltiorrhiza (redroot sage). RNAcentral's name for it is "long non-coding RNA (SMIL_LNC013534)". Lineage: Eukaryota; Viridiplantae; Streptophyta; Magnoliopsida; Lamiales; Lamiaceae. The record is from RNAcentral.